GAGUUUGAUCCUGGCUCAGAAUCAACGCUGGCGGCGCGCCUAACACAUGCAAGUCGAACGAGAAAGGGGAGCAAUCCCUGAGUACAGUGGCGUACGGGUGAGUAACACGUGGGUAAUCUGCCUCUUAGCGGGGAAUAACCCGGCGAAAGCUGGGCUAAUACCGCAUAAGCCCGAGAGGGGAAACGCGAAAGCGGCUGAGAGAGGAGCCCGCGGCCGAUUAGCUAGUUGGUAGGGUAAAGGCCUACCAAGGCAAAGAUCGGUAGCCGGCCUGAGAGGGCACACGGCCACACUGGCACUGAAACACGGGCCAGACUCCUACGGGAGGCAGCAGUGGGGAAUCUUGCACAAUGGGGGAAACCCUGAUGCAGCGACGCCGCGUGAGCGAUGAAGCCCUUCGGGGUGUAAAGCUCUUUCGGCAGGGAAGAUGAUGACGGUACCUGCAGAAGCAGCUGCGGCUAACUACGUGCCAGCAGCCGCGGUAAUACGUAGGCAGCAAGCGUUGUUCGGAGUUACUGGGCGUAAAGGGUGUGUAGGCGGUUUGGUAAGUCUGGUGUGAAAUCUCCCGGCUCAACUGGGAGGGUGCGCCGGAAACUGCCGGACUCGAGUGCGGGAGAGGAGAGUGGAAUUCCUGGUGUAGCGGUGAAAUGCGUAGAUAUCAGGAGGAACACCGGUGGUGUAGACGGCUCUCUGGACCGUAACUGACGCUGAGACACGAAAGCGUGGGUAGCAAACAGGAUUAGAUACCCUGGUAGUCCACGCCCUAAACGAUGCACAUUUGGUGUGGGUCAUUCAGUUGAUCCGUGCCGGAGCUAACGCGUUAAAUGUGCCGCCUGGGGAGUACAGUCGCAAGGCUGAACUCAAGGAAUUGACGGGGGCCCGCACAAGCGGUGGAGCAUGUGGUUCAUUCGACGCACGCGAGAACCUUACCUGGGCUCGAACAGCUGGUCAACGGCGGUGGAAACAUCGCUACCCCGCAAGGGGGUCCAGCCGAGAUGCUGCAA
This 1001-nucleotide ribosomal RNA is filed under the name uncultured bacterium. RNAcentral describes it as "bacterial SSU rRNA". It matches the Rfam family "Bacterial small subunit ribosomal RNA", at positions 9 to 1046 of the family's 1533-position model. The record is from RNAcentral.